UAUACGGUGGGCCAGCAAUGGACUGAAUUUCAAUUGACAUUGCUUCAGGAUUAUAACCUUUACGAUAACAACACAAGGCUUAUAUUUUUGUACAGUUAAAUAAUAUAUGUUGACUGGUAUUCGUAUAAAUAACCACACGGAUCGAUUGCAGGCGAGUCUUCUGUUCCAUUGUUCGUGGAAGUACGUUGCAUCUAAGUCUUUAUCAAUAAAAAAUUAAGAUGCCUUGUGGAGGUUGUGGCGAUAGUUGCAAAUGCACUACGACUCAGUGCUGUCAGAGUUGCAAAUGUGAUUCAUCCUGUUCUUGUUCAUGCAAGCGGUCGACCACUGACUCUACCACCAAAAAGAAGUAAUCAAGAAUGAAAAAAGCACUGUAAAACAGAUAUAUAAUUCUGUUUUUUAAUUAUUUUUUUCAAAAAUGCUGUUUUUCAUUUUCAUUCGAUAUGUAUAAUUAACAUUCAAUUAUCAUUGUAGAUAAUGAUAAGAUGAAUAUAUUAAAACUUUUUUGAUUGAAUUAAUAAGAAGUAAAUUAACUAUAGCGGAUAACAUUGUUUGUAAUCUAUGUGUAUUUUACAUUUUGUAAAAACAAAUUUUAGCUACAAAUAAUUAAUAGUUCAUAAUUACGCACAAAAUGUUUGUGCGUCACGUCCGUAAUCCGUAAACAAGUGUUAGAAAAAUAAUAAUGCUAGCAAUUAUACAAUUAUAUUGUUUCUUAAAAGGUAUUAAAUAAAAUAUUGUUGCCUAUUACAAAAUGAUUAAAAAUGUAUUUGAAUUAUAAAUAACAAUGCAAUAA
Long non-coding RNA from Nymphalis io (European peacock), 790 nucleotides. RefSeq lists it as uncharacterized. The transcript is spliced from 2 exons. The record is from RefSeq and is a predicted model, not a curated record. NCBI's taxonomy places the organism in Eukaryota, Metazoa, Arthropoda, Insecta, Lepidoptera, Nymphalidae.